AUGUUAUUAUGGAGUGACUGCAAGCCCUCUCCAACACCAUAUGAUGCUAGCGUGCUGCUUCGAAAGAAUCGAAGAAUUGCUAGAGAUCAAUUGAAGUAUUCUCAGAUUAUUGGCUCGCUUAUGUACUUAGCAAGUGCUACAAGACCUGACAUCUCUUUUGCUGUUAGCAAACUGAGUCGAUUUGUUUCAAAACCAGGAGAUGUGCAUUGGAAAGCUCUAGAGAGAGUUUUGCGUUAUUUGAAAGGCACUGCGAAUUAUGGAAUUCACUACACUGGGCAUCCAAAGGUGCUUGAAGGGUAUAGUGACUCAAACUGGAUCUCAGAUGCUGAUGAGAUAAAGGCCACAAGCGGUUAUGUAUUCACUCAUGGAGGUGGCGAUGUUUCUUGGAAGUCUUGCAAGCAGACCAUCUUAACGAGGUCAACUAUGGAAGCAGAACUCACAGCACUAGAUACAGGUACGGUCGAAGCAGAUUGGCUUCGCCGACUCUUGAAUGACUUGCCGGUUGUUGAGAAACCUGUACCGGGUGUCCUUAUGAACUGCGACAAUCAAACUGUGAUCACGAAAGUGAGCAGCUCAAAGGAUAACAUGAAGUCAUCAAGACACGUUCAGAGAAGGUUAAAGUCUGUCAGGAAAAUGAAAAACUCUGGAGUUAUUGCAUUGGAUUAUGUCCAAACGUCUAAAAAUCUGGCAGAUCCUUUUACUAAGGGUCUAUCACGUAAUGUGAUAGAUAGUGCAUCAAGGGAGAUGGGUAUGAGACCCACA
This 762-nucleotide ribosomal RNA is filed under the name Triticum aestivum (bread wheat). RNAcentral describes it as "partial small subunit ribosomal RNA". The record is from RNAcentral. Lineage: Eukaryota; Viridiplantae; Streptophyta; Magnoliopsida; Poales; Poaceae.